RNAcentral lists this ribosomal RNA (500 nucleotides) under Dendropsophus counani. Its description in RNAcentral is "partial 16S ribosomal RNA". It matches the Rfam family "Bacterial large subunit ribosomal RNA", at positions 1945 to 2597 of the family's 2925-position model. Lineage: Eukaryota; Metazoa; Chordata; Amphibia; Anura; Hylidae. The record is from RNAcentral.
ACCGUGCGAAGGUAGCGUAAUCACUUGUUCUCUAAAUAAGGACUAGUAUGAAUGGCACCACGAGGGUUACACUGUCUCCUUUUUCCAAUCAAUGAAACUGAUCUGCCCGUGAAGAAGCGAGCAUAAAAAUAUAAGACGAGAAGACCCUAUGGAGCUUUAAACUACAAUAGCAUGGGCUAUCCACUACAUGUUUCAGAACCACAACAUCCAACUUAGCCUCAAUGACUAUUAGUUUUAGGUUGGGGUGACCGCGGAGUAAAAAUUAACCUCCAUGUUGAAAGGACUACGUCCUGAGCUUAGAGCUACACCUCCAAGCACCAAUAAACUGACAUCCAUUGACCCAACAUAUUGAUCAACGAACCAAGUUACCCUAGGGAUAACAGCGCAAUCCACUUCAAGAGCCCCUAUCGACAAGUGGGUUUACGACCUCGAUGUUGGAUCAGGGCAUCCCAGUGGUGCAGCCGCUACUAAUGGUUCGUUUGUUCAACGAUUAAAACCCU